UAGAGAUGGAGGCGAAAUGUACGCGAUGCCGAACGACUCCCUCGUCGGCGCCGCCACGGAGUGGGACAGGCGGCGGGCGAGAUCCAACGGGUGGCUCCGCCGCGCGGUCUACAGCUCCGCCCGUGACCUCGACGACGCGCGGGCCAGCCCCAUGGCCGCGCACGCGCCGCUCCGCUUCUCUGUUGCGCCAACGGCAGCCGCCAAGCCCAAGGGUAAACCAGAUUAAACCAGAAGAUGUGGUUGCCCAGCGAGGAUGAGGCUGCUGAAAUGUGCUACUGGUGGUUAUUAUGUCAAAACAUUAGUUGAUUAUGCUGUAAAUAACAUUAGAUGUGCUACUGGUGGAUAGAUAUUAACGUUUACAUAACAUUCUUCUUCUUUUUGAUCAAAUUGAUAGGGAAAAAUGGUGCAAAACGACGUACAGUGUGAUUCUUCAUAACACAUGUCAGAGUUAAACGUGCGAGUGUGGUUUGAGUUAUGCUACAUCUGGGCGUGCGUACUAUUCCUCAAUGCCAUAUUAAUGAUGCGAUGGACCAAGAAAGCUCGUGACUCUAUCCCAGCACACCUUGGGACCUUUCCAGAUGAUGUUGGGAUGGCCCAGGCAAGAGUAUUCAGGCAUAAUGUUUUGCAAAGCACUGCGAAUGAGAUAGUUAGGCUCGGUGAUCAGGAUAACCAAUCUUUUGAGAUUCUUCUUCGUUAUCUUGGGGAAGCAAAGGAGGAGAUUGCCAAAGCCGCUUCCAAGAUGUCUGGUGCUGCGGCCAGUUUUCAUUUCAUUUCAUUUCAGAUGUUUUCAUUUCAGAUGUUUCAGUCUCUUAAUGGAAUCCAUGCAACUGUACCUUUCGAGCUUUUCUAAUCUAAUUAAUGUGAAAUUUGCAAAUUCA
Oryza sativa Japonica Group (Japanese rice) is the source of this 878-nucleotide non-coding RNA. The record is from RefSeq and is a predicted model, not a curated record. NCBI's taxonomy places the organism in Eukaryota, Viridiplantae, Streptophyta, Magnoliopsida, Poales, Poaceae.